GUCCACGCCGUAAACGAUGGGCACUAGGUGCUCCGGGGAGCGACCCUUGGAGUACCGGCGCUAACGCAUGAAGUGCCCCGCCUGGGGAGUACGGCCGCAAGGCUGAAACUCAAAGGAAUUGACGGGGGCCCCGCACAAGCGGUGGAGCAUGUGGUUUAAUUCGACGCAACGCGCAGAACCUUACCUAGGCUUGACAUGCACGGGAAAGCUGCUGGAAACAGUGGCCCCUCUUCGGAGCUCGUGCACAGGUGCUGCAUGGCUGUCGU
RNAcentral lists this ribosomal RNA (266 nucleotides) under uncultured bacterium. Its description in RNAcentral is "partial 16S ribosomal RNA". It matches the Rfam family "Bacterial small subunit ribosomal RNA", at positions 793 to 1055 of the family's 1533-position model. The record is from RNAcentral.